AGUCAACAUGCCCAGAGGACGUGGAUAACCUCGGGAAACUGAGGAUAAACCGCGAUAGGUCAUAAUUACUGGAAUGUGUUAUGGCCCAAAUCUAUAUGGCCUCUGGAUUGGACUGCGGCCGAUCAGGCUGUUGGUGAGGUAAUGGCCCACCAAACCUUUUACCGGUACGGGCUCUGAGAGGAGGAGCCCGGAGAUGGGCACUGAGACAAGGGCCCAGGCCCUAUGGGGCGCAGCAGGCGCGAAACCUCUGCAAUAGGCGAAAGCCUGACAGGGUUACUCUGAGUGAUUCCCGCUAAGGGAAUCUUUUGGCAUCUCUAAAAAUGGUGCAGAAUAGGGGGUGGGCAAGUCUGGCGUCAGCCGCCGCGGUAAUACCAGCACCCCGAGUGGUCGGGACGAUUAUUGGGCCUAAAGCAUCCGUAGCCGGUCUUGCAAGUCUUCCGUUAAAUCCAGCUGCUUAACAGAUGGGCUGCGGAGGAUACUACAAGGCUAGGAGGCGGGAGAGGCAAGCGGUACUCAGUGGGUAGGGGUAAAAUCCUCUGAUCCAUUG
RNAcentral lists this ribosomal RNA (547 nucleotides) under uncultured archaeon. RNAcentral describes it as "bacterial SSU rRNA". It matches the Rfam family "Archaeal small subunit ribosomal RNA", at positions 102 to 652 of the family's 1478-position model. The record is from RNAcentral.